GCUCUCGUGGUGUAGUGGCUAUCAUACUUUCUUAGGGUCCAGUGCUGGUCUCUAAUCCUUCUCCGGGUUCGUCUCCGUGUUCUCUAGCUAUGGAAGUGGUCCUGGGUUCAAAUCCCGGCGAGGGCC
Apiotrichum porosum is the source of this 126-nucleotide non-coding RNA. Lineage: Eukaryota; Fungi; Basidiomycota; Tremellomycetes; Trichosporonales; Trichosporonaceae. The record is from the annotation of a RefSeq genome assembly.